GAAGGACGUAAUACACUGCGAUAAGCUCCGGGGAGUUGUGAAUAGACUUUGAUCCGGAGAUCUCCGAAUGGGAAAACCCACCUGAUUUAUCAGGUAUCCUAUAGUGAAUACAUAGCUAUAGGAGGCAAACUCAGUGAACUGAAAUAUCUCAUUAGCUGAAGGAAAGGACAUCAACCGAGACUCCGUUAGUAGUGACGAGCGAACGCGGACCAGGCCAAUGGCUUUAGAGUAAUAACUAGAACAACAUGGAAAGGUUGGCAAUAAUAGGUGAUAGCCCUGUAUAGGUAAAAAUCUUUAAAGUCUUCGAGUAGGGCGGGACACGUGAAAUCCUGUCUGAACAUGGGGGGACCACCCUCCAAGCCUAAGUACUCUCUAACGACCGAUAGUGAACAAGUACCGUGAGGGAAAGGUGAAAAGAACCCCGAUGAGGGGAGUGAAAUAGACACUGAAACCAAAUGCUUACAAGCAGUAGGAGCAAAAGCUUGCUUUUGUGACUGCGUACCUUUUGUAUAAUGGGUCAGCGACUUAGUUUAUCGAGCGAGCUUAAGCCGNUAGGUGUAGGCGUAGCGAAAGCAAGUCUGAAUAGGGCGAACAUAGUUCGAUGAAUUAGACCCGAAACCGGGUGAUCUAGCCAUGGCCAGGUUGAAGGUGGAGUAACAUCUACUGGAGGACCGAACCCACUAAUGUUGAAAAAUUAGGGGAUGAGCUGUGGUUAGGGGUGAAAGGCCAAUCAAACUCGGAUAUAGCUGGUUCUCCGCGAAAUCUAUUUAGGUAGAGCGUCAUAUGAUUACCACUGGAGGUAGAGCACUGAAUGAGCUAGGGGGUCCAACAGACUUACCAAACUUAAUCAAACUCCGAAUGCCAGUGAGUACAGUAUGGCAGACAGACCAUGGGUGCUAAGGUCCAUGGUCAAGAGGGAAAGAGCCCAGACCGCCAUCUAAGGUCCCAAAAUCAUAACUAAGUGUUAAAGGAUGUGGGAAGACCAAAACAACUAGGAGGUUGGCUUAGAAGCAGCCAUCCUUUAAAGAAAGCGUAAUAGCUCACUAGUCUAAAUAAGUCUUCCUGCGCCGACAAUGUAACGGGGCUAAAGUUAUGUACCGAAGAUGCGGAUUCAUAUGUUAGGCAUAUGAGUGGUAGCGGAGCGUUCCGUAAGCCUGUGAAGGCAAUCUGUAAGGAUUGCUGGAGGUAUCGGAAGUGAGAAUGCUGACAUGAGUAGCGACAAAGAAUGUGAGAGACAUUCUCGCCGAAAGUCCAAGGUUUCCUGCGUAAAGCUAAUCUGCGCAGGGUUAGUCGGCCCCUAAGGUGAGGCUGAAAGGCGUAGCCGAUGGGAAUCAGGUUAAUAUUCCUGAACCUGGAAGAAGUGACGGAGGCUGUAAGUUGUACACUCUUAUUGGAUUGAGUGUGCAGUGAAAGACUCCCAGGAAAUAACUCUUCCGUAUAGACCGUACCCCAAACCGACACAGGUGGACAGGUAGAGUAUACCAAGGCGCUUGAGAGAACGAUGCUGAAGGAACUAGGCAAAUUGCAUCUGUAACUUCGGGAGAAAGAUGACCUAUUUUUGGGCAACCAAUUGUAGGUGGCACAUACCAGGGGGUAUCGACUGUUUACUAAAAACACAGGGCUCUGCUAAGUCAAUAGACGAUGUAUAGGGUCUGACGCCUGCCCAGUGCUGGAAGAUUAAAAGGAGGGGUGCAAGCUCUGAAUUGAAGUCCCAGUGAACGGCGGCCGUAACAAUGACGGUCCUAAGGUAGCGAAAUUCCUUGUCGGGUAAGUUCCGACCCGCACGAA
RNAcentral lists this ribosomal RNA (1788 nucleotides) under metagenome. Its description in RNAcentral is "bacterial LSU rRNA". It matches the Rfam family "Bacterial large subunit ribosomal RNA", at positions 51 to 1996 of the family's 2925-position model. The record is from RNAcentral.